UACAGAGGGUGCAAGCGUUAAUCGGAAUUACUGGGCGUAAAGCGUGCGCAGACGGUUGCGUAAGUCAGAUGUGAAAGCCCCGGGCUCAACCUGGGAAUUGCAUUUGAGACUGCGUAGCUAGGGUGCGGAAGAGGGAAGCGGAAUUUCCGGUGUAGCGGUGAAAUGCGUAGAUAUCGGAAGGAACACCAGUGGCGAAGGCGGCUUUCUGGCCUGCUCUUGACGCUGAGGCGCGAAAGCUAGGGUAGCAAACGGG
RNAcentral lists this ribosomal RNA (253 nucleotides) under uncultured bacterium. RNAcentral describes it as "partial 16S ribosomal RNA". It matches the Rfam family "Bacterial small subunit ribosomal RNA", at positions 524 to 776 of the family's 1533-position model. The record is from RNAcentral.